This 643-nucleotide non-coding RNA is filed under the name Glycine max (soybean). RNAcentral's name for it is "Bacterial small subunit ribosomal RNA". It matches the Rfam family "Bacterial small subunit ribosomal RNA", at positions 276 to 861 of the family's 1533-position model. Lineage: Eukaryota; Viridiplantae; Streptophyta; Magnoliopsida; Fabales; Fabaceae. The record is from Rfam by way of RNAcentral.
GUGAUUAUAAGUUUGAUACAACAAUACAUACAGUGCAGCAACCACCUCUGUAACAACUUUUCAAAUUUACUAACAAAUAAUAAUAACAAACUGAUAAACUACAAGAGUAAAGAUAAACUUCUACGGGAGGCAGCAGUAGGGAAUUUUCUACAAUGGACGAAAUCCUGACGGAGCAAUGCCGCGUGAAGGUAGAAGGCCUACGGGUCAUGAACUUCUUUUCCAGGAGAAGAAGCAAUGACGAUAUAAGGGGAAUAAGCAUCGACUAACUCUGUGCCAGCAGCCGCGGUAAGACAGAGGAUGCAAGUGUUAUCUAGAAUGAUUGGGCGUAAAGCGUCUGUGUGUGGCUUUUUAAGUUUGUUGUCAAAUCUCAGGGCUCAACCUUGGAUAGGCAGUGGAAACUACCAAGCUGGAGUACGGUAGGGGCAGAGGGAAUUUCCGGUGUGGAGUAGGGAAAUGCGUAGAGAUCGAACAGAACAUCAACGGCAAAAACACUCUGCUGGACUGACACGGAGAGACGAAAGCUAGGGGAGCGAAUGGGAUUAGAUACCCCAUUAGUCUUAGCCGUAAACAAUGGAUACGACCGUGCAAUGCUGUAGCUAACUGUAACUCACACACAAAACUAAGGGAGAUGAACAUACAUUUU